CCAACAUGACCAUGCCUGGAGGUUACUCUUCCCAGGCUCUGUCCUCACGACCUAGGGAAGCACAGGGCUCUGCCCAAUGAUGUAUAAUCCCUUUCCACAAUGUUAGGUAUCUGCACCUGCAUAUUUCUGCAGCUUCCCAGAGUCCUGUGGACAAUGACUGGGGAGAUAAACCAUGCAGGAAACAGUC
Molecule: small nucleolar RNA, 187 nt
Organism: Dipodomys ordii (Ord's kangaroo rat)
Lineage: Eukaryota; Metazoa; Chordata; Mammalia; Rodentia; Heteromyidae
Gene: SNORA73
Rfam family: Small nucleolar RNA SNORA73 family
About the family: U17 (SNORA73A and SNORA73B) also known as E1 belongs to the H/ACA class of small nucleolar RNAs (snoRNAs). Vertebrate U17 is intron-encoded and ranges in length from 200-230 nucleotides, longer than most snoRNAs. It is one of the most abundant snoRNAs in human cells and is essential for the cleavage of pre-rRNA within the 5' external transcribed spacer (ETS).
Source: Ensembl